CUACGGGGGGCUCCAGUGGGGAAUAUUGCACAAUGGAGGAAACUCUGAUGCAGCAACGCCGCGUGGAGGAUGACACUUUUCGGAGCGUAAACUCCUUUUAUAUAGGAAGAAGAUGACGGUACUAUAUGAAUAAGCGCCGGCUAACUCCGUGCCAGCAGCCGCGGUAAUACGGAGGGCGCAAGCGUUACUCGGAAUCACUGGGCGUAAAGAGCGUGUAGGCGGAUUAAAAAGUCAGAAGUGAAAUCCUAUAGCUUAACUAUAGAACUGCUUCUGAAACUCUUAAUCUAGAAUAUGGGAGAGGUAGAUGGAAUUUCUGGUGUAGGGGUAAAAUCCGUAGAGAUCAGAAGGAAUACCGAUUGCGAAGGCGAUCUACUAGAACAUUAUUGACGCUAAGGCGUGAAAGCGUGGGGAGCAAACAGGAUUAGAUACCCCCGUAGUC
RNAcentral lists this ribosomal RNA (439 nucleotides) under uncultured bacterium. Its description in RNAcentral is "partial 16S ribosomal RNA". It matches the Rfam family "Bacterial small subunit ribosomal RNA", at positions 339 to 795 of the family's 1533-position model. The record is from RNAcentral.